GACGAACGCUGGCGGCGUGCUUAACACAUGCAAGUCGAACGGAAAGGCCCUGCUUUUGUAGGGUGCUCGAGUGGCGAACGGGUGAGUAACACGUGAGUAACCUGCCCUUGACUUUGGGAUAACUUCAGGAAACUGGGGCUAAUACCGGAUAGGAGCUCCUGCUGCAUGGUGGGGGUUGGAAAGUUUCGGCGGUUGGGGAUGGACUCGCGGCUUAUCAGCUUGUUGGUGGGGUAGUGGCUUACCAAGGCUUUGACGGGUAGCCGGCCUGAGAGGGUGACCGGCCACAUUGGGACUGAGAUACGGCCCAGACUCCUACGGGAGGCAGCAGUGGGGAAUAUUGCACAAUGGGCGGAAGCCUGAUGCAGCAACGCCGCGUGCGGGAUGACGGCCUUCGGGUUGUAAACCGCUUUCGCCUGCGACGAAGCGUGAGUGACGGUAAUGGGUAAAGAAGCACCGGCUAACUACGUG
Molecule: ribosomal RNA, 468 nt
Filed under: uncultured bacterium
Lineage: Bacteria
Description: partial 16S ribosomal RNA
Rfam family: Bacterial small subunit ribosomal RNA
Source: RNAcentral